Molecule: unclassified non-coding RNA, 336 nt
Filed under: soil metagenome
Description: partial contains 5.8S ribosomal RNA, internal transcribed spacer 2, and large subunit ribosomal RNA
Rfam family: 5.8S ribosomal RNA (bases 1-120)
Source: RNAcentral
GAUGAAGAACGCAGCGAAAUGCGAUAAGUAAUGUGAAUUGCAGAAUUCAGUGAAUCAUCGAAUCUUUGAACGCACAUUGCGCCCGCCAGUAUUCUGGCGGGCAUGCCUGUUCGAGCGUCAUUUCAACCAUCAAGCCCCAGGCUUGUGUUGGGGACCUGCGGCUGCCGCAGGACCUGAAAACCAGUGGCGGGCUCGCUGUCACACCGGGCGUAGUAGAUUUUAUCUCGCUCAGGGCGUGCUGCGGGUUCCGGCCGUUAAAAAGCCUUUUUUACCCAAGGUUGACCUCGGAUCAGGUAGGAAGACCCGCUGAACUUAAGCAUAUCAAUAAGCGGAGGA